Molecule: ribosomal RNA, 253 nt
Filed under: uncultured prokaryote
Description: partial 16S ribosomal RNA
Rfam family: Bacterial small subunit ribosomal RNA
Source: RNAcentral
UACAGAGGGUGCAAGCGUUAAUCGGAAUGACUGGGCGUAAAGGGCGCGUAGGUGGCAGAUUAAGUUAGAUGUGAAAUCCCUGGGCUUAACCUAGGAACUGCAUUUGAUACUGGUCUGCUAGAGUGUUGGAGAGGUAAGUGGAAUUUCCGGUGUAGCGGUGAAAUGCGUAGAUAUCGGAAGGAACACCAGUGGCGAAGGCGGCUUACUGGCCAAACACUGACACUGAGGCGCGAAAGCGUGGGGAGCAAACAGG